GGAGAGACCCCCGCGCCGGGGACACUGCCCCGCACCCGGGCCGGGGCAGCCGCUGCAGGGGGAGCCGCAUCGGGAACGGGGCGCCGCUCCCCGGGACCCUCGGGCCCCGCUCCCGCUUCUCAGGACCUUCGGUGGGGCUGGGUCCCGCUCCCCGGGACUCUCGGGACUCUGCUCUCCGGGACCUCCGUGCCCAGACCAGCUGGGGCUCCACAUUCAAAGAUGACUCAAUCCUCUGCGCCUCUGCUCUGGCGGGGGAGCUGGGAUGCGGUGGCCUGUUCCAUCCGCACGGCAGUGACGGUGCAGGGAAAUGGUAGCGUCCUCCCCGUCAGCUGACAGUCUGCUGAUCCCCGUUCCCUUAAACCCAAAUCUGCCACAGGGAGUGCAGUGUUCCUGCUCUGAUGCUCAGCUGGGUUGUGCUGCCAUCCUCACAUUAAAACUACUUCAAUUCUGCUUA
This is a long non-coding RNA of Pseudopipra pipra, 454 nucleotides long. RefSeq lists it as uncharacterized. The record is from RefSeq and is a predicted model, not a curated record. The transcript is spliced from 2 exons. Lineage: Eukaryota; Metazoa; Chordata; Aves; Passeriformes; Pipridae.